Molecule: ribosomal RNA, 254 nt
Filed under: uncultured bacterium
Lineage: Bacteria
Description: partial 16S ribosomal RNA
Rfam family: Bacterial small subunit ribosomal RNA
Source: RNAcentral
UACGGGGGGAGCAAGCGUUGUUCGGAUUUACUGGGCGUAAAGGGCGCGUAGGCGGCCAGCACAAGUCAGUUGUGAAAUCUCCGAGCUUAACUCGGAAAGGUCAACUGAUACUGUGCGGCUAGAGUGCGGAAGGGGCAACUGGAAUUCUUGGUGUAGCGGUGAAAUGCGUAGAUAUCAAGAGGAACACCUGCGGCGAAGGCGGGUUGCUGGGCCGACACUGACGCUGAUGCGCGAAAGCCAGGGGAGCGAACGGG